RNAcentral lists this ribosomal RNA (257 nucleotides) under uncultured bacterium. RNAcentral's name for it is "partial 16S ribosomal RNA". It matches the Rfam family "Bacterial small subunit ribosomal RNA", at positions 524 to 777 of the family's 1533-position model. The record is from RNAcentral.
UACGUAGGGACCAAGCGUUGUUCGGAUUUACUGGGCGUAAAGGGCGCGUAGGCGGCAUAUUAAGUCAGCUGUGAAAUCUCCGAGCUUAACUCGGAACUGUCAGCUGAUACUGAUGUGCUAGAGUGCAGAAAGGGCAAUCGGAAUUCUUGGUGUAGCGGUGAAAUGCGUAGAUAUCAAGAGGAACACCUGAGGCGAAGGCGGGUUGCUAGGCUGACACUGACGCUGAGUGCGCGAAAAGCCAGGGGGAGCAAAACGGG